CAGUAGCCACGGGAAUACGUAGGGAGCAAGCGUUGUUCGGAUUUACUGGGCGUAAAGGGCGCGUAGGCGGCGCGGUAAGUCACUUGUGAAAUCUCUGAGCUUAACUCAGAACGGCCAAGUGAUACUGCUGUGCUAGAGUGCGGAAGAGGCAACCGGAAUUCUUGGUGUAGCGGUGAAAUGCGUAGAUAUCAAGAGGAACACCUGAGGCGAAGGCGGGUUGCUGGGCCGACACUGACGCUGAUGCGCGAAAGCCAGGGGAGCAAACGGGAUUAGAUACCCGUGUAGUCCCUGUCUCUUAUAC
This 301-nucleotide ribosomal RNA is filed under the name uncultured bacterium. RNAcentral's name for it is "partial 16S ribosomal RNA". It matches the Rfam family "Bacterial small subunit ribosomal RNA", at positions 509 to 807 of the family's 1533-position model. The record is from RNAcentral.